RNAcentral lists this long non-coding RNA (642 nucleotides) under Ananas comosus (pineapple). RNAcentral describes it as "long non-coding RNA (ACOM_LNC002955)". Lineage: Eukaryota; Viridiplantae; Streptophyta; Magnoliopsida; Poales; Bromeliaceae. The record is from RNAcentral.
UAUACAAAAAGUCUCGUGCACACGAAGCGUCAGAAGUAUAUGUAAAUACUUCUAGAGGCUACAACUAGUAGAUAUCAGAGUUUGCAAGAAAAACUAAUACAUAACCGAAAGGGAUAAUUGCCUAUAUACCCUCCAUACGUGUGAAAAUAUUCGAUUUAUUCUUUUUUUUUUCUUUCUAGUUAUUGCAAAAUAUCCUUACAGUUAUCUUCUGUUAAGUUAAUUUAGAUUAAAUGUGAGUUAUAUAUAUACCAUAGUUAAAAAAAAUUAAAAUGCCAAUUUUACCUUUAACUUAAGAGCAAAUAAGAAAUAUUGAUGACAGUAAAGGAGUAUAUUGGAAAAGACCAAAAGUCAAAAUAUUUUUUGUGCCAUUGACUUCAAGAGCAAAUAAGAAAGUCAGUGAUAAUGGAAGGGUAUAUUUAAAAUGGCAAAAUAGUAAUUUUACAGAGAUAACAAAGUUCAUUAAUAGAUUUUAACUCUAGGGGUAUAUUAGAAAUAAGUUGGAACGUAGAAAAGAUAUUUUCAAUAUUAACUUUCUAAGAGGGAUAAAUCGAAAAGUCGGAAACUUUUCAGAAAUAUAUAAGCGAUUACCCCUAUAAGAAACUAUACUGUAUAUAUAUUAACUACCAAAAUAGAACAUCAUCC